CCUACGGGAGGCAGCAGUGGGGAAUUUUGCGCAAUGCUCGUAAGAGUGACGCAGCGACGCCGCGUGAAUGACGAAGGCCUUCGGGUCGUAAAGUUCUUUCGACAGGGAAGAAAAUGACGGUACCUGAGUAAGAAGCUCCGGCUAAAUACGUGCCAGCAGCCGCGGUAAUACGUAUGGAGCAAGCGUUAUCCGGAUUUACUGGGUGUAAAGGGAGCGCAGGCGGCCUUGCAAGUCUGAUGUGAAAUACCGGGGCUCAACCCCGGGGCUGCAUUGGAAACUGUGAGGCUGGAGUGUCGGAGAGGCAGGCGGAAUUCCUAGUGUAGCGGUGAAAUGCGUAGAUAUUAGGAGGAACACCAGUGGCGAAGGCGGCCUGCUGGACGAUGACUGACGCUGAGGCUCGAAAGCGUGGGGAGCGAACAGGAUUAGAUACCCGGGUAGUC
This 440-nucleotide ribosomal RNA is filed under the name uncultured bacterium. RNAcentral's name for it is "partial 16S ribosomal RNA". It matches the Rfam family "Bacterial small subunit ribosomal RNA", at positions 338 to 795 of the family's 1533-position model. The record is from RNAcentral.